ACUCAAAAGUAUAUGUGCCAAGUGACCAGGAAACUCUGGUGGAGGCUCGAAGCGAUACUGACGUGCAAAUCGUUCGUCUGACUUGGGUAUAGGGGCGAAAGACUAAUCGAACCAUCUAGUAGCUGG
Molecule: ribosomal RNA, 126 nt
Filed under: Triticum aestivum (bread wheat)
Lineage: Eukaryota; Viridiplantae; Streptophyta; Magnoliopsida; Poales; Poaceae
Description: rRNA LSU_rRNA_eukarya
Rfam family: Eukaryotic large subunit ribosomal RNA
Source: RNAcentral